This 207-nucleotide long non-coding RNA is filed under the name Elaeis guineensis (African oil palm). RNAcentral describes it as "long non-coding RNA (EGUI_LNC058250)". The record is from RNAcentral. Lineage: Eukaryota; Viridiplantae; Streptophyta; Magnoliopsida; Arecales; Arecaceae.
GAUCCAAAUAGCUAGGGACCAAAAAAAUAUGAAGUCAAACUCAGUAGCCUUGCUGUGAAUAGCCGAUGACACCGCAGGUCAAAGGACCACUCAUACCAUAGCAGCAUCGAGAUAACCACUGACAAGUGAGUAGACAUCCAAGUGGUUUCUCAUGUUGAUCAUGCUUAGUACAAGUUAUUCUCUAACAAUCACUUGCACUCUCACCCC